GUCUAUAGCCAUCCCACCCUGAGCACUCCCAAUCUCAUCUGAUCUUGGAAGCUAAGCAGGGUCAGGACUGGUUACUACUUGAAUGGGAGAUUUGGGAUUUUACAGUUAAAAAGA
This 114-nucleotide ribosomal RNA is filed under the name Castor canadensis (American beaver). Lineage: Eukaryota; Metazoa; Chordata; Mammalia; Rodentia; Castoridae. The record is from RNAcentral.